RNAcentral lists this long non-coding RNA (1512 nucleotides) under Capsicum annuum. Its description in RNAcentral is "long non-coding RNA (CANN_LNC008054)". The record is from RNAcentral. Lineage: Eukaryota; Viridiplantae; Streptophyta; Magnoliopsida; Solanales; Solanaceae.
CUGAAUUUAUUUGUUGGACUAUUUGGUGAACAGAUCAAGGAUAAUAGGGAGAAGACAAUAGGACUGCAGGCUGAAUGGCAAGACCAAAACCAAGUCCCUCCUUCGAUAUCUUUCCUCUUUCCACAAGUAGUCCAUUCCUAAACAUCGGGUAAUAUUAUUAUAUAUGAUAUGUUAAAUAAAUGACUAAACAAAUUUGAUAAAUAUUUAGCUUGAGAUGCAUUUAAAUGGAGAAACACGAGGAGUCUUAAUUUAUAUAGACGGCCCUAACUUGUUUGAAAUGAAGGUGCUCAUAGACAUAGUAAUAGUUAGAUGUGUCACAUUUUUUAUUUGAGUGAAAUUUGAAUGGCAUAUUGACAUCCAAAGGGUGAGGCCAAUUAGUCGAUGAAAUUGAUAUGAGCAUGAGAGAUCCGGGUUAAAAUCCCAUAAGAAAUUAAACUAGAAACAUUAGGUGAUCAUGUACGUCUUUCCAUCUGUUUAAGACUUGUUGGAUAGAAUUACGACCUUCUUCUUCUUUUUACCCCCUUGUUUUGUGGAGGGUUGUGCAAACCAUCCGUAUUAAUUAAGUUUAUAGAUAUGGGCAGCAUGGUUUCAUCCAACGAACCUCGAUCAUUGUAUUAAUUUUGGAAUAGGGGGUGGUUUGAAACUUUGAAUAUGACAGAUGAUAGAAUUCUAAGGCUUGAUGAAUGACUAUUUUAGUAUUGGUACAAAAAGUAGUGUUUUUGAAUAGAGUUACUACUUACUUAUAUGCUUAGUGGUACACAAGCUAACCAAAACAUCACCGAGAAAUGUUUUCUUUUAUAAUGUUAGAUGAUUGCUCUUGGAUUUGUCAUAAUUAUUUAGACUAUAUUUACGGUGUGAUCAACCUAAUGCAACCCUCCUCUUUUAUCACAGUAAUUAAGUAAUAUCAAAACUUCAGAUUUGGAAGAUUUUAUUAAACCGUGGGUGCUAAUUCGAGUGCAGAGGUAAUUAUUACCAAGGUGGAGAAGUAGAGGCACGGAGGAGGAAUGAGCUGCUUGAUCUAAAUCUUGAUUCUUUGUAUCCUCCAACCCAUCUUCGAUGCUUUGCUUCAUAAGGAAAAAAAACUUGGUUAUUUUCCUAAUAACCCUUGUGCUUUAAUUCUACUACAUAUUCUAAGUCCAUGUGAAAAUGUGGAUUGGAUUGUGUGAAUAUCUCUUAUCAAUGUGUGAAGAGAGUUAGUAACUACCUUGCUAAGUGUAAAGGAAUUAUAACUCUGGCAGUAUUGACAUCUUCGAAUUUACGAAUUUACAUAUUGUGAUGAAUGCCUAACACUUUUUAUUCCUCUCCAAAAAGUUUUUGCCUAACAAAAUUGCUUUUAGACAAAGCUGAAAUUUAACCUGUGGCUUUACUAUUCAAACCUCAACCAAAUCCCCAGAUUAUAAAAUUGAUCUCCAUUGUCUAUCGAAAACAACAUCUCUAUCCCUGUAAAGGUAGAAGGUAGAGGACUAGAGAUAAGGCCUACGUACAUCAUAUCCACCUCAAACCCCACUUGUG